This 1449-nucleotide long non-coding RNA is filed under the name Sus scrofa (pig). RNAcentral's name for it is "lncRNA (ENSSSCG00015059390.1)". Lineage: Eukaryota; Metazoa; Chordata; Mammalia; Artiodactyla; Suidae. The record is from RNAcentral.
AGAGGGAAUGGAUUUAAGGACACACAGCAGGAGCUGGCUGAAUUUAUUUUAUUUUGACGGGGGUAGUUGGGGGAGGAAUAUCAUUUCUGAAAUGCACAAGGAAUGAAGGGAGAGGAUAUGGAUUGCUUAAACAGUUUUUGCAAGAGGAGCGGUGUCUUGUUCUGCAGGUUAGGCUUCUCAGUCCCUCUGGAGCUGCAUGAUGGAGGCAGUAAGCCAGAUAUCUAUUUCCCCUGGUGAGAGCCCCUGAUGGUUUUGACCGCUGAUAACUGAGAAAAUGUUUACAAAUGACAGUACUAGAAAGAAAACCAUGAAGAGCAACAUAAUGGAUGUCAAAAGUUAAGUUUUGUAGGAGCUUGAAAAUUCCUCAGAAAAAAAUGGUCAUGGAUAAGAAAAGAGAAGGAGAAAAUCAGCAGGCAAGAGACUGGUGGGAGUCCUUUGACACAUGAGGAGCCUAAACUAACAUUGUCGUCUGAGAGGACCUCCAGACAACUGUAUGAAUGGGGCUGAAGGAACAUGACAGGUCACGACUUCAGAGAAUGCAGAGAGGAGUGAAGAGCCAUUUGCCAAAGUACAAAAGAGGGAAUGUGAUUCCACAGGAUCUGUGCCAUAAAUAACCCUUAUGGCUCUUAUUCAAUUAGCGCUCCCUUUUCCAAGAGGACAAUCAAUGCUGCCAAACUGGAUGAAAUAUUUAGUUCAAGAUAUGCAGAUCCCUGAGAUCAAACAGAGUGUAAUGCUUAGUUAUGAAAUUCUUUCCCUCAAAUCUGCCAUUGAUCAGCUACUCCAGCCCCUCAUCUGAAGAGGAAUUCUGCAGGAUCUGCCUCCUAGGCAUGGGAACAUGACAAUAACUUUCCAGAAUGCUUGUGCCUACACCUUACAACAAACAGACAUGCCUUUGCCAAAAACAUCUCACUUCACAAGAUUGGAGCGGUGGCCCCUUUACUCAAGAAUGAGGUCAACUUCAUGCUGGAAUAAUGAACGUACCGACUUUUAAGAAACUCCUGUUCUUAUUGUGAGAAGAAAUUUCAUAGUUUCCUCUAUGGUCUUGUUUUGAAAAUUUUAAUGUUUAGACACUACUAAGUAGUUUAGAUUCUAAGCCUCUCUUGAAAUUCUUCUCUCUAUAUUUAUGUGGAAGACAGAAGACUGGCCACCCAAUGAUGUCUUGGAUGUGUAAAUAUGGUACGUUCCAUGAAAAACCAUGGAAACAAACUUUGUUACAUUAUGGUAAAGUCAUCAGCUGACCUUCAAAUAAGGAGGUUAUUCUGGAUUAACCAGGCGGGCCCAGUGUAAUCAAAGAGUUCUAAAAAGUGGAGGUGGGAGGCAGAGGCAGAGUCAGUGUUGGAGUGAUACAGUGUGAGAAAGACCCAACCUCCUUAAUAAGAGACUAUCAAGAAUGAUAUACACAAGCCUAUUUAGCAUAACUCAGCAAAAAAUUUUCCCGGAAAAAAAAAA